AACGAACGCUGGCGGCAGGCCUAACACAUGCAAGUCGAGCGAGGACUUCGGUCCUAGCGGCGGACGGGUGAGUAACGCGUGGGAACGUGCCCUUUGCUUCGGAAUAGCCCUGGGAAACUGGGAGUAAUACCGGAUGAGCCCUUUGGGGGAAAGAUUUAUCGGCGAAGGAUCGGCCCGCGUUGGAUUAGGUAGUUGGUGGGGUAAUGGCCUACCAAGCCGACGAUCCAUAGCUGGUUUGAGAGGAUGAUCAGUCACACUGGGACUGAGACACGGCCCAGACUCCUACGGGAGGCAGCAGUGGGGAAUCUUAGACAAUGGGGGAAACCCUGAUCUAGCCAUGCCGCGUGAGCGAUGAAGGCCUUAGGGUUGUAAAGCUCUUUCAGCUGGGAAGAUAAUGACGGUACCAGCAGAAGAAGCCCCGGCUAACUCCGUG
RNAcentral lists this ribosomal RNA (433 nucleotides) under uncultured bacterium. RNAcentral's name for it is "partial 16S ribosomal RNA". It matches the Rfam family "Bacterial small subunit ribosomal RNA", at positions 29 to 507 of the family's 1533-position model. The record is from RNAcentral.